Pangasianodon gigas (Mekong giant catfish) is the source of this 72-nucleotide non-coding RNA. Lineage: Eukaryota; Metazoa; Chordata; Actinopteri; Siluriformes; Pangasiidae. The record is from the annotation of a GenBank genome assembly.
UCCCUGGAGGACUAGUGGUUAGGCCACAGGGCUCUCUUCGCUGUGGCCCGGGCUCAAUUCCCUGCCAGGGAA